Molecule: ribosomal RNA, 468 nt
Filed under: uncultured bacterium
Lineage: Bacteria
Description: partial 16S ribosomal RNA
Rfam family: Bacterial small subunit ribosomal RNA
Source: RNAcentral
GACGAACGCUGGCGGCGUGCUUAACACAUGCAAGUCGAACGGAAAGGCCCUGCUUUUGUGGGGUGCUCGAGUGGCGAACGGGUGAGUAACACGUGAGUAACCUGCCCUUGACUUUGGGAUAACUUCAGGAAACUGGGGCUAAUACCGGAUAGGAGCUCCUGCUGCAUGGUGGGGGUUGGAAAGUUUCGGCGGUUGGGGAUGGACUCGCGGCUUAUCAGCUUGUUGGUGGGGUAGUGGCUUACCAAGGCUUUGACGGGUAGCCGGCCUGAGAGGGUGACCGGCCACAUUGGGACUGAGAUACGGCCCAGACUCCUACGGGAGGCAGAAGUGGGGAAUAUUGCACAAUGGGCGGAAGCCUGAUGCAGCAACGCCGCGUGCGGGAUGACGGCCUUCGGGUUGUAAACCGCUUUCGCCUGUGACGAAGCGUGAGUGGCGGUAAUGGGUAAAGAAGCACCGGCUAACUACGUG